Molecule: ribosomal RNA, 821 nt
Filed under: uncultured marine bacterium
Lineage: Bacteria
Description: bacterial SSU rRNA
Rfam family: Bacterial small subunit ribosomal RNA
Source: RNAcentral
AACGAACGCUGGCGGCAGGCCUUAUACAUGCAAGUCGAGCGCAUCCUUCGGGAUGAGCGGCGGACGGGUGAGUAACGCGUGGGAAUGUGCCCUUCUCUACGGAAUAGCCACUGGAAACGGUGAGUAAUACCGUAUACGCCCUUAGGGGGAAAGAUUUAUCGGAGAAGGAUCAGCCCGCGUUAGAUUAGGUAGUUGGUGGGGUAACGGCCUACCAAGCCUACGAUCUAUAGCUGGUUUUAGAGGAUGAUCAGCCACACUGGGACUGAGACACGGCCCAGACUCCUACGGGAGGCAGCAGUAGGGAAUCUUGGACAAUGGGGGAAACUCUGAUCCAGCCAUGCCGCGUGAGUGAAGAAGGCCUUAGGGUCGUAAAGCUCUUUCGCCUGUGAUGAUAAUGACAGUAGCAGGUAAAGAAACCCCGGCUAACUCCGUGCCAGCAGCCGCGGUAAUACGGAGGGGGUUAGCGUUGUUCGGAAUUACUGGGCGUAAAGCGCGCGUAGGCGGAUUGGAAAGUUGGGGGUGAAAUCCCGGGGCUCAACCCCGGAACUGCCUCCAAAACUGCCAGUCUAGAGUUCGAGAGAGGUGAGUGGAACUCCAAGUGUAGAGGUGAAAUUCGUAGAUAUUUGGAAGAACACCAGUGGCGAAGGCGGCUCACUGGCUCGAUACUGACGCUGAGGUGCGAAAGUGUGGGGAGCAAACAGGAUUAGAUACCCUGGUAGUCCACACCGUAAACGAUGAAUGCCAGUCGUCGGGUAGUAUACUAUUCGGUGACACACCUAACGGAUUAAGCAUUCCGCCUGGGGAGUACGGUCGCAAGAUUA